GUAAACACAGGAGCUCAUCCAAGGCUGCAGAUGAGCUGGGAGGGGCUGGGGAGUUCCUGUGCCCCCAGGGAACCCUGCCUGACAACAAGCCCAUUCAUCCAAAGGGGGUCUCUGCCUUUGGGAGUCCUGGUCUAAGAACAUAAGCAGGACAGCCUCUGUGGUGGAUUUAGCAGGGGAUGCAGGAGACCCCUCCCACAGCCCACCCCCAACCAGCAUGCUCACGUCCCCUGUCCCGCCUAGAAUCCUUAUAGAUGCAGCUCCCAGGGGAAGGAGAACAAGGAGAAACCAUCAUCCAUUGUGGCUGCCAGGAGCCACCACCACCUCUCAGGCGCUUCCUCACCCGACCUUGGGGUCCAGAGAGAGGACAUGCCAGUCUCCCCACUCCCACAGUCUCACAGUAGCAGCUGCAGGGACAGCCAGGCUGCUCUGGGAUGGGGGCUGAAGGUGGGUCCUCACUGCUAGCACCAGGUUCAGCUCCUGUCUCAGGGUUAGGCUCCAGCUCAACCCCUGGGGCUGCUCCCUGGCUUCUGAGAAGCUGCCGUCAGGCGGAUUCCAUCUCUCAAGGCUCUUUGGAGGAAAACAUUCCAACUAGGAAUGACAGGGAUCUGCUCAUGAGGAAACUGAGCCUCCCCACGACAACUGAGAGAUGAAGAGAGACCACCGGACAGUGCUCUCACUCACCCAAAGAAACCACAAAGAUGUACACAGAAAUGACAACACCCGACACCAUGGAGAAGCAGACCCUAGGGCCUCAGCCCGCAGCAUCCCAUCCCAGUGCCUCCCCUUCCGGUGAAGAUCUCCUGUUGAACAGACCAGACACCCCCCCUGCUCCAGUGUUCCAGUGGGAUGCACGCCCACGCCCACCCUGCCAGCAAGUGGACUGUCAACAACCCAAGGCCAGCAACACUAUCCUUGCUUAGGCCUGAGCCACAGAAGCUGCCCAGGGACUAUCCAUGGCCUCCCCGUGGCCAACUUGAGCCUGCCCUGCAGAUUCAGGCCUGACUUGGGAGGCCCUCAGGCUUCAGGUGAGUGGGGGCCAGGGGACCCUGGGGGCCUGAGCACAGCUGGGAGGAGCAACUCUUUGGUUUCCCAGGGGUGAGCAUGUAAGUACCUGGGCCGUGCUAUGGGGCAGACAUGUCCACAUGGAGACACAUCUGUGGACCUAGUGUUAUGACAGCAGAGGCUUGUAACCAUGAGGCCAGCAGGGACAGAAAGCCCAUGCCUUUAGCUCCUUGGGAGCCUUGGGAGUCCUCCUUGACUGGAACAGAGCCUGCCAGUCCCAGGUGCCCCCAUCGUCCUCCCUUCACCUUUCUGAGAGGCAAGAAAGCCAGGCAGCCAUGCUUCUGCUGCAAGGGGAGGGGGCUGCCCAGCCAGCUGCCAUGGGAGCCUCCAGCAACUCAGCCGGGUGUCAGGGGGUGUUUAUGAGCAGCCGAAAUGGCUGUAAAAGUGGCACCUCACUUCACUUAUGGCCUGGCUAUACCCUCCCCUACUGGCCUCCUGCCUCAAAAAGCUUCCAGAGGGGCCUGGAAGCCGAGAAAGGUCUGGGGUUGAGGUCUGGGUGGAGACACAGCCUGGGGUCAGAGUUCAGCCACGGGGAAGAAAUCGGAUUAGGAUAAGAAUUCAGCCCUAGGUUGGGGUUCAUCAUGGAAACAGAGCUCAGUCCAGGAUCAGGGCUAAGCAUGGGAUGCAGACUUAUUUUGGGGCUAGUGCUGGGAUAAAGCAUUGGGGGAAUAUAAAGUCUCAGAAAUAGAUGUGAGCCAUUAGUCCCAGAGAACCCCUGGGUCAGCAAGGGGUUUUCUAAGAGAGGCCAGGCUGCAUUGCUCAGAGAGCCGAGCCUCUGCCUUUCCUGUUGGUGUCUGAUGCCCACCCUGGCCCCAGGGUCUGUGUACCUUGGCGGAAGCCCUACUCACAGUGGGAUGGCUACAGCAGAGGCCUGUCAGCCUGGGGUUGCCACACCAGCAGGGGUGGGGCCAGAGUCCAGCUCUUAGUGCAGUUCUGAGAUCCAGCAACCACCCUGGCUCUUCCUCAUAGGUCCCAACCUGGGGAUCAGAGACAGGGACUCACUCCUACUCCCCACCCCAAGCCAGGCCUUUUCAAAUUCCAUUGAAACUGACCUGACACUAACCAGAAACUGACUCUGGGCCCCUGGGGCCUGCUUGUCAAAAAGGGCAGGCUGAUUUUGCCAGGUGCUUAGGUGCUACCAGUUAAUGUGUGACACCAAUACCCUCACCCUCAUGGUGGCACUUUAACCAGAGGCCUGAGGGUGAGGGAGAGGAUCUAUGGCCCCACCCACAGCUGUGGAAUGUCCAGCAGGGGACUCUGGGGUGAGGCACAUGAAUUAUGGCAAGGGGAAUGCCCUUAAGAGGCCCAGCGCCCAUCAGAGUCCUCUCUGCAGCCCUCUACACAGCCCACCCUGGUCCUGCCAAGUACAAAUAUUAUGUUUCCAAAUCUCAAGUUUUCCCUGGUGUCAGAUCUGAAAAGAACUCCUCCCCAUCAGCCCCUAGUUUUACCUCUCAGUCCUUCCACUCCCUCCAUUAAUGUUCUUUUCUCAUCACCAAGACGGAAAGCAGGGUGGGAGGUCAGCUGUCAUAGAAACAUAAAACGUACAGACACCUAGAAACAGAGGCAUAGGCCAGGUGCAGUGGCUCAUGCCUGUAAUCCCAGCACUUUGGGAGGCCAAGGCAGGAGGACUGCUUGAGCCCAAGAGUUGGAGACCAGCCUGGGCAACAAAGUGAGACAUCGUCUCUACAAAAAAAAUUUUUUAAUUACCUAGGUGUGGUGGCUCAUGCCUGUGGUCCCAGCUACAUAGGAGGCUGAGGUGGGAGGAUUGCUUGAGCCCAGGAGGUCGAAGCUGCUUUGAGCCAUGAUUGUGCCACUGCACUCCAGCCUGGGCAACAGAGCAAGACCCUGUCUGGGGGCAAAAAAAAAAGGCUGGGUAUGGUGGCUCAUGCCUGUAAUCCCAACACUUUGGGAGGCUGAGGCAGGUGGCUCACUUGAGGCCAAGAGUUUGAAACCAGCCUGGUGAGCAUGGAGAAACCUCGUCUCUACUAAAAAUACAAAAAUUAGCUGGGCGUGGUGGUGCACACCUGCAAUCCCAGCUACUCAGGAGGCUGAGGCCAGAAAAUUGCUUGAACCCAGAAGGCAGAGGUUGCAAGUGAGCUGAGAUCGUGCCACUGCACUCCAGCCUAGGCAACAGCCCUGUCUCAAAAAAAAGAAAAGAAACGGAGGCACAAUAAAGCUGAGACCAUUAAAAUAUAACUGAAGAAGCACAAGUGUUCUUUAGGUCCCCAUUCUGGCACCUGGGCCUCUGUCCCAAGGAGCCCACAUACCAUAGGAGGCAGCCCUGAAAUUACAACUUCCUCCCCAGUAAUGGAGGAUGUGGGCACACAAGAGAGAGGGGAAUGUCCUUUACACCAAGCAGAGGAGUGUGAUCCUAGCAGAGGAAACAGCAAGGGCAAAGGCAGGAGAGUGGAUGUGUGGAGAAGGCCAGGAGUCUAGCAGGCAGUUCCUGUUGGGGAGAGUCAUUUUUGGAGGAAACUCUCAAAUAGCACAGCCCUUGAACACCAGGACAAGAAACGAGGGCAGUGGGCACAGAGAAGGAAUACAGCCACAGAAAUGUGUGGGAAGGGCCUGAUCCAGUGGUUCACACCUGUAAUGCCAGCACUUUGGGAGGCUGAGGCAGGUGGAUCGCUUGAGAUCAGGGGAUUGUGACCAGCCUGGCCAAUAUGGCAAAACCCUGUCUCUACCAAGAAAUGCAAAAAUUAGCCAGGUUGGUGAUGCAUGCCUGUAGUCCCAGCUACUUGGGAGGCUGAGGUGGGAGAAUCACUUGAUUCUGGAAAGCGGAGGUUGCAGUGAGUGGAAGUUGAAGUGAGCAGAGAUCAUGCCGCUGCAUUCCAGCCUGGGUGACAAAGUGAGACUCUGUCUUGAAGAUGAAGAAGAAGAAGAGGAAGAGGAGGAAGGAGAAGAAGAAAUGCAUGGGGAAAGUACCUAGCUAGGGGUGCAGUCUGGAAGCUGGAUAGGCUUGAGCCAGGAGAAGGGUGGCAACAUCUGGAUCCUAAACCUUAGGGCCUGGGCUUGGCAGAUUCACACUGAGGGUUGGAGGGCAGGUCUGCAGGCUCUGAGGAGCUCAGUGUCCACAGGCUGAGUCUGGAGAGCCCCUGGAGCCCAUGGGCCAGGACGCCCAACCUCGUGGAUACUAAACAGGAAAGUUAACAUUGCCUUUGAAUCAGCUGGCCAAACUCUCCAUUUUGCAGAUGAGGAAACUAAGAUCCAGACAGCUGAAGAGUGGUAGUGUCCGAGACACAAGAUUGGUGAGCAGGCAAGCACAGGCUGCUGCUUAGCCCAAACGAUAUUUCCCAGGUCCUCAAGCAUUGGCUUCCUCCCCCAUCCUUAAAGCCCUCCA
Long non-coding RNA from Callithrix jacchus (white-tufted-ear marmoset), 4402 nucleotides. RefSeq lists it as uncharacterized. NCBI's taxonomy places the organism in Eukaryota, Metazoa, Chordata, Mammalia, Primates, Cebidae. The record is from RefSeq and is a predicted model, not a curated record.